Molecule: ribosomal RNA, 585 nt
Filed under: uncultured bacterium
Lineage: Bacteria
Description: bacterial SSU rRNA
Rfam family: Bacterial small subunit ribosomal RNA
Source: RNAcentral
GAUGGACCCGCGGUGCAUUAGCUAGUUGGUGAGGUAACGGCUCACCAAGGCCACGAUGCAUAGCCGACCUGAGAGGGUGAUCGGCCACAUUGGGACUGAGACACGGCCCAAACUCCUACGGGAGGCAGCAGUAGGGAAUCUUCGGCAAUGGACGAAAGUCUGACCGAGCAACGCCGCGUGAGUGAAGAAGGUUUUCGGAUCGUAAAACUCUGUUGUUAGAGAAGAACAAGGGUGAGAGUAACUGUUCGCCCCUUGACGGUAUCUAACCAGAAAGCCACGGCUAACUACGUGCCAGCAGCCGCGGUUAUACGUAGGUGGCAAGCGUUGUCCGGAUUUAUUGGGCGUAAAGCGAGCGCAGGCGGUUUCUUAAGUCUGAUGUGAAAGCCCCCGGCUCAACCGGGGAGGGUCAUUGGAAACUGGGAGACUUGAGUGCAGAAGAGGAGAGUGGAAUUCCAUGUGUAGCGGUGAAAUGCGUAGAUAUAUGGAGGAACACCAGUGGCGAAAGCGGCUCUCUGGUCUGUAACUGUCGCUGAGGCUCGAAAGCGUGGGGAGCAAACAGGAUUAGAUACCCUGGUAGUCCACGCC